Long non-coding RNA from Onychomys torridus (southern grasshopper mouse), 454 nucleotides. RefSeq lists it as uncharacterized. The record is from RefSeq and is a predicted model, not a curated record. Lineage: Eukaryota; Metazoa; Chordata; Mammalia; Rodentia; Cricetidae. The transcript has 4 exons.
UGAGGAGAGGCUGAAAGAAUACCUUCCUUCUGUUUUGAGAUACCCCAUUUAUAGAACCUUGCAAUGGCAGCCCACUAGUACACCUGUGUGAAGGUUAAUAAUCGACUGUCAACCUGACGGGAUCUGGACUUCCCUAAGAGACAAACGGGCACGUCUACAAGGGAGUUUCUAGACUCGGGUCUGGGGACAGGACCCCGGGCAGAACCUAGCCGCAAACUUGAGCCCUGGCAAUCCAUGUGACUGGAAGGAUGGCGGAAGAGGCUUGUGGUUAAGUUAAUUGAAUCUGAGGAUUUCGCCCUGGGAAACCACCUUCGUGAUCAUGGUAUCUACCCUGCCAGGCACGGGAGGAUACACUGGCAUCACCAUCCAAGCUCAGAGCCUGCAUCUUUGUGUUGCUAUACGAAGUAAAUUGUAGUGGGUAGCUGUUCCAGCUUUGACCUAGAAGUACCACCCC